RNAcentral lists this ribosomal RNA (217 nucleotides) under Peptoclostridium litorale DSM 5388. Its description in RNAcentral is "16S rRNA. Bacterial SSU". It matches the Rfam family "Bacterial small subunit ribosomal RNA", at positions 19 to 219 of the family's 1533-position model. The record is from RNAcentral. Lineage: Bacteria; Bacillati; Bacillota; Clostridia; Peptostreptococcales; Peptoclostridiaceae.
CUGGCUCAGGAUGAACGCUGGCGGCGUGCUUAACACAUGCAAGUCGAGCGAACAAAGCGAUGUGAAGCCUUCGGGUGGAUCAUCGCGGCGUGAGCGGCGGACGGGUGAGUAACACGUGGGUAACCUGCCCUGUACACUGGGAUAACGCACCGAAAGGUGUGCUAAUACCGGAUAAAGUGAACCUUUCGCAUGGAAGGAUCACCAAAGCUCCGGCGGU